AUUGAACGCUGGCGGCAUGCCUUACACAUGCAAGUCGAACGGUAACAGGUCUUCGGAUGCCGACGAGUGGCGAACGGGUGAGUAAUACACCGGAACGUGCCUAGUAGUGGGGGAUAACUACUCGAAAGAGUGGCUAAUACCGCAUGAGAUCUACGGAUGAAAGCAGGGGAUCGCAAGACCUUGUGCUAAUAGAGCGGCCGGUGGCAGAUUAGGUAGUUGGUGGGAUAAAAGCUUACCAAGCCGACGAUCUGUAGCUGGUCUGAGAGGACGAUCAGCCACACUGGGACUGAGACACGGCCCAGACUCCUACGGGAGGCAGCAGUGGGGAAUUUUGGACAAUGGGCGAAAGCCUGAUCCAGCAAUGCCGCGCGCAGGAUGAAGGCCUUCGGGUUGUAAACUGCUUUUGUACGGAACGAAAAGCCCCGGGUUAAUACCCUGGGGUCAUGACGGUACCGUAAGAAUAAGCACCGGCUAACUACGUGCCAGCAGCCGCCGUAA
RNAcentral lists this ribosomal RNA (498 nucleotides) under uncultured bacterium. RNAcentral's name for it is "partial 16S ribosomal RNA". It matches the Rfam family "Bacterial small subunit ribosomal RNA", at positions 30 to 523 of the family's 1533-position model. The record is from RNAcentral.